This 1387-nucleotide ribosomal RNA is filed under the name uncultured bacterium. RNAcentral describes it as "16S ribosomal RNA". It matches the Rfam family "Bacterial small subunit ribosomal RNA", at positions 8 to 1386 of the family's 1533-position model. The record is from RNAcentral.
AGAGUUUGAUCCUGGCUCAGGAUGAACGCUAGCUACAGGCUUAACACAUGCAAGUCGAGGGGCAGCAUGGUCUUAGCUUGCUAAGGCUGAUGGUGACCGGCGCACGGGUGAGUAACACGUAUCCAACCUGCCGUCUACUCUUGGCCAGCCUUCUGAAAGGAAGAUUAAUUCAGGAUGGCAUCAUGAGUUCACAUGUCCGCAUGAUUAAAGGUAUUUUCCGGUAGACGAUGGGGAUGCGUUCCAUUAGAUAGUAGGCGGGGUAACGGCCCACCUAGUCAACGAUGGAUAGGGGUUCUGAGAGGAAGGUCCCCCACAUUGGAACUGAGACACGGUCCAAACCCCUACGGGAGGCAGCAGUGAGGAAUAUUGGUCAAUGGACGCAAGUCUGAACCAGCCAUGCCGCGUGCAGGAUGACGGCUCUAUGAGUUGUAAACUGCUUUUGUACGAGGGUAAACGCAGAUACGUGUAUCUGUCUGAAAGUAUCGUACGAAUAAGGAUCGGCUAACUCCGUGCCAGCAGCCGCGGUAAUACGGAGGAUUCAAGCGUUAUCCGGAUUUAUUGGGUUUAAAGGGUGCGUAGGCGGUUUGAUAAGUUAGAGGUGAAAUUUCGGGGCUCAACCCUGAACGUGCCUCUAAUACUGUUGAGCUAGAGAGUAGUUGCGGUAGGCGGAAUGUAUGGUGUAGCGGUGAAAUGCUUAGAGAUCAUACAGAACACCGAUUGCGAAGGCAGCUUACCAAACUAUAUCUGACGUUGAGGCACGAAAGCGUGGGGAGCAAACAGGAUUAGAUACCCUGGUAGUCCACGCAGUAAACGAUGAUAACUCGUUGUCGGCGAUACACAGUCGGUGACUAAGCGAAAGCGAUAAGUUAUCCACCUGGGGAGUACGUUCGCAAGAAUGAAACUCAAAGGAAUUGACGGGGGCCCGCACAAGCGGAGGAACGUGUGGUUUAAUUCGAUGAUACGCGAGGAACCUUACCCGGGCUUGAAAGUUAGCGACGAUUCUUGAAAGAGGAUUUCCCUUCGGGGCGUGAAACUAGGUGCUGCAUGGUUGUCGUCAGCUCGUGCCGUGAGGUGUCGGGUUAAGUCCCAUAACGAGCGCAACCCCUACCGUUAGUUGCCAUCAGGUCAAGCUGGGCACUCUGGCGGGACUGCCGGUGUAAGCCGAGAGGAAGGUGGGGAUGACGUCAAAUCAGCACGGCCCUUACGUCCGGGGUUACACACGUGUUACAAUGGUAGGUACAGAGGGCAGCUACCCAGCGAUGGGAUGCGAAUCUAGAAAGCCUAUCUCAGUUCGGAUUGGAGGCUGAAACCCGCCUCCAUGUAAGUUGGAUUCGCUAGUAAUCGCGCAUCAGCCAUGGCGCGGUGAAUACGUUCCCGGGCCUUGCAC